This is a non-coding RNA of Camelina sativa (false flax), 1398 nucleotides long. The record is from RefSeq and is a predicted model, not a curated record. Lineage: Eukaryota; Viridiplantae; Streptophyta; Magnoliopsida; Brassicales; Brassicaceae.
CAAAACCCUUACUCGAAUCUUCUUUUUCUCUCUCGCCUCUCUCUCUCUCUCUCUUUACCAAAGACAAAAGAGAUAUGUAAGAUCUGUUUUUAUAUUCUGGAUUGCUGCAGUACAUUGAGAUUUGUCUCUCUCGACAAUAUGAAUUGAGCUAAAAUGGAAUAAUCAUAGUUGCAGUGAAUGUGUUUCUGAUUCUGAAAAUAUACGUUUCUCAUGUUCACUGCUGCUACGUAUCUCUCUGCCGGAAGUGAGCUUCUUCUCGAGAUCCUUGGCCUUGGAACUGUCGGUGGUUUGUUCCUUCCCCUGCUCGGCGCGCUUCCCCACGCUAUGCUUAUCAUGGGUGGCAGAUUUGGUGGUCUCCUUAUGUGAGACACUGGGUGAUUCUUCAUCUAUGAAGUGUUUGGCUGAGACACCAAAGAAAAAAGAACAAAUAUGACUGAGAUGUUGGGUGCUACCCAUUACUCCAUCAAAGUGGCCCAGGUAAACGAUUGUUAAACCUUAUCUCUCUCCCAAGCUUCGAUUACAAACGAUUGUUAAAUCUUAUCCUCCCCGUCUGAUUGAUACUGUUUGAUUAUUAUGAAUUUCCCCGUAAAAGUCUUUAUGUUUUGGUUAUUUCUAUUUUUCUUUGUUUGUAUGAAAUCUGGAUUUUAGCAUUAUCAUUUAGUAGCCAUAGAAUCUGCAAUAAGACUUUAUCAAGUGUCUUUUAAUUUGAAUGUUGCAAGGUUUUUCAGCUGAGGAAAGAGAGAGAUGUAAAAGAAGAUAUUACUUCAUAUGAGAGUUUCAAAUUAAGGAGAUUAAGAUUGGAAUCAACGGUGAGUUUCUGUUCAUGAUGAAAUUCAAUUAGUGAUGUGAAUCUCUUUAGUGAGUUUAGCAACCAUUGCCUCGCUUGACGAUUAGAUGGGUCAAAGCAAGAAGCUAAACAUAGGAACAAACAACUGUGGUGAAUGAGAAGUUGAGAUAGCGACGAGCGUUAUCAAGUGAGGGAGAUAACCAAAUCUGCUUUAGCAGCUGCUGAAGAGACUGCAAUUAGCGCAAGAACAGCUUUAAUGGCAAACCCUUAUGUGUCAAGUGGAGCUUCAUGGUUUUCAAACGCGUUUGGUGCAGUGACAAAAACGUUUAAAGAGAGAGCUGAGAAUGGAGGAGAAGGAAGAAAGGAGAUCAUCCAACUUGAUCCUUCUUCACCUAAAGUUUCUGUUGUUGUUCCUGUUAAGCUCAGUUGAUGCAGAUCUCACCGAAUCAAGUUUUUUAAGUCCAUUUCAUCUCAAUUCUUUUAUAGGUUUGCUGUUCAUAGAGAUAUAUAUGUGAUUUCAUUUACUAAACAAAAGAUAAAAAGACAAAAACCUUACAAGUUGUUGUUACAUUCAGACAGAACUUUUCUUCUCUCAAAAGAGAUUAUUAGCA